Piliocolobus tephrosceles (Ugandan red Colobus) is the source of this 1496-nucleotide long non-coding RNA. RefSeq lists it as uncharacterized. The transcript has 5 exons. NCBI's taxonomy places the organism in Eukaryota, Metazoa, Chordata, Mammalia, Primates, Cercopithecidae. The record is from RefSeq and is a predicted model, not a curated record.
AGGUUCAAGCAAUCAAGCGAUUCUUCUGCCUCAGCCUCCCGAGUAGCUGGGACUACAGACGGAGAAACUGGGACCCAGAAGAUUAACAACUGGAGUUACAUGCUGGGGCUAGAAUCCAGAUAUCCUGACUGUCAGCGAUGGAGCAAAGAGCACAACAAAGUUGGGGAAGACUUUGGAGCUGAAGCUUUUAUAGACUGUGUUCUCAACCUAGAAGAAUGUCAGCAGCAUGACAGAGUGAGGAUGUUAAGAAACCUCCCUCAAAAGCAAUCCUAAAAUUGGACAAAAUUCAAAAACAACCAUUUUAGUACUCCAGAAUUUGUCCUAAGGAAUACAACAAAAUCAGAAGCAUUUAUUCGUGAAAACUACUGAACUUUUCAGCCAUUCAAAAUGCCAAAAGGAAUGAAGGCUAAGUGGAAGAAGAUGGCCCCCUCUCCUGCUAUUGUGAGGAAGCAGGAGGCCAAGAAGGUGAUGAAUCCCGUUUGAGAAAAGGCCUAAGAAUUUUGGCACUGGACAGGACAUUCAGCCCUAAAGGGACCUCACCCACUUUGUCAAAUGGCCCUGCCAUAUCAGGUUGCAGCAGCAAGGAGCUAUCUAUCUUCUAUAAGCGGCUGAAAGUGCCUCCUCCAAAUAACCAGUUUACCUAGGCCUUGGACUGCCAAAUAGCUACACAACUGCUUAAGCUGGCCUAUAAGGACAGACCAGAGACAAAGCAAGAAGAUCAUUGGCCCAGACUGAGAAGAAAGUUGCCAGAGGGAUGUCUCCACUAAGAGGCCUUUGAGCAGGGAUUAACGCUGUCACCACCUUGGUGGAGAACAAGAAAGCUCAGCUGGUGGUAACUGCACAUGACAAUGGAUCUCAUAGAGCUAGCUGUCUUCCUGCCUGCCCUGCAUCAUAAAAUACAAAGGGAAGACAAGACUGGAUUGUGCAGUCCACAGGAAGACUUGCACCACUGUCGCAUUCACAUAGAUUAACAUGGCAGACAAAGGGGCUUUGGCUAAGCUGGUGGAAGCCAUCAGAACCAAUGACAAUGACAGACAGGAUGAGAUCCACUGUCACUAGGGAGGCAAUAUCCUGGGUCCAAAAUCUCUGGCUCUCAUUGCCAAGCUGGAAAAGGCAAAGGCUUAAGAACUUCCCAUUGGCCGGGCGCAGUGGGAUUACAUGCCUGUAAUCCCAGCUACUAGGGAGGCUGAGGCAGGACAAUCACUUGAACCUGGGAGGCAGAGGUUGCGGUGAGCCGAGAUCGCGUCAUUGCACUCCAGCCUGGGCAACAAGAGCGAAAAUCCAUCUUAAAAAAAAAAAAAAAAAAAAAAUCCUUCCCAUUAAGCUGGGUUAAAUGUAGACUGUUGAGUUUUCUGGACAAAUAAUAAUAAUUCUCCUUCAGCCAAAGAAAAUGAAAUAUAAAUUAAGACAUAACAAUUAUAAGCAUAUGUGCAACUUCAUUCCAAAAUACACAAAGCAAAACUGACAGAACUGAGGAGAAAAAUUCAACAAUGGUU